UACGUAGGGCGCAAGCGUUGUCCGGAAUUAUUGGGCGUAAAGAGCUCGUAGGCGGUUUGUCGCGUCUGCUGUGAAAACCUAAGGCUCAACCUUGGGCUUGCAGUGGGUACGGGCAGACUAGAGUGCGGUAGGGGUGACUGGAAUUCUCGGUGUAGCGGUGAAAUGCGUAGAUAUCGAGAGGAACACCUGCGGCGAAGGCGGGUAGCUGGGCCGACACUGACGCUGAGGCGCGAAAGCCAGGGGAGCGAACGGG
RNAcentral lists this ribosomal RNA (253 nucleotides) under uncultured bacterium. RNAcentral describes it as "partial 16S ribosomal RNA". It matches the Rfam family "Bacterial small subunit ribosomal RNA", at positions 524 to 776 of the family's 1533-position model. The record is from RNAcentral.